Molecule: long non-coding RNA, 873 nt
Organism: Oryza sativa Japonica Group (Japanese rice)
Lineage: Eukaryota; Viridiplantae; Streptophyta; Magnoliopsida; Poales; Poaceae
Source: RefSeq, a predicted model, not a curated record
UCGCCGAGAGCCAGCCAGACGAUCGAGCGGGUCAAACUGGCUCUCCGCUAGUCAUUAUAACAAGUCCUUAGUACUCACAUAUCGCGCUAUAUCCCCAAAGCACAUAGGGAUACUGUUUACACCCAAAUUGCCAACAGAUACAGGGCCCAUUUCUUGCUCUAGCUUGUCAGCUGGUGUUAUCGUAUCGAGUGUGAGCGAGGAGUUGCUGAUCUGAGACAGGAUGGGGCACUUCAUGAUGGACGACCAGAACAUCUUUGCAUGGUUAUGUACAUCAUGCGUGCUUUGUUGCUUCAUGGGAUGCGCAUACAUAUUCUACAUAAUCGUUACCAUCAUUCUUCCUCCGCUUCCUGUUUUCAUAAGGCACCACUGCGAGAAGGAGUUCUGGAUUUGCUUGCUGCUUACUAUAUGCGGCUACAUCCCUGGCGUCAUCUACUCCUUUUGGAUCAACAAAUUUGAUCUAUUUUGCGAGAAAAACGACGACUCGACCUAAUUAAGAUAUAUACUAGCUACUAAGAUUAUAACGUGCAAUCAAUUGGUCCCAAAUAUAGAAUCCUUAUAUCUCAGAUUGUAAUCAUGCAUUCUCGACAGAUACAGUGACUUGCUUUGGGGCUUUCAGAUGCUACUCCGUUACUGAGUGUUUAUAAAAGUAAUCUUUGGAUUUGUUAGGAAGAAUGUGUAAUGGGAUGAGGAUGAGAAUUACCCCUCCCAGUAGUUAAUAGAAAGGAUAUAUAUCUAGCCUCCUUGCGAGAAGAUUCAAGCACAACUGAUCAUAUUAUUCAUGCUACUCUCUGUUUGUCCAAUGUUCAGAAAACUACCAAUAGCAUCAUUAUCAGGGUGGAUGGCAAUAUUGAUUUUUAUUAUUACUUUCUACCC